UUUUAUACCGAAUCCCGCGAUAGGGAUGGUAGCGGAUAUCCUUUUUGUCUUUUGACCAAACGUCGUUUUAUAGACUCAAUGUGGCAAGACAAAAAGAUAGUAGUGGACAGCCCGACCCGAG
RNAcentral lists this small RNA (121 nucleotides) under Chryseobacterium sp. FH1. RNAcentral describes it as "Flavo-1 RNA". It matches the Rfam family "Flavo-1 RNA". Lineage: Bacteria; Pseudomonadati; Bacteroidota; Flavobacteriia; Flavobacteriales; Weeksellaceae. The record is from Rfam by way of RNAcentral.